Molecule: RNA transcript, 3598 nt
Organism: Zea mays
Lineage: Eukaryota; Viridiplantae; Streptophyta; Magnoliopsida; Poales; Poaceae
Exons: 18
Source: RefSeq, a predicted model, not a curated record
CUUUUAGCCAUUUAUUACUCUGAACGAUCUCGGCCCGUCGGCCGCCUCCUCUUCCCCUUCCGUUCCCUUGCGUUGGUGUUUCUAUUCAUCGCUGACGAUUGACGCUAGAUUGCCGCGACCCUCGGAAUUUCAGUUCGCGGUUGGGGCAUGGAGGAAGAGGAACUCACCUCCGGCGGCGGCGACGCGGCGUUGCUGGCGCCGGAACCGCGCGAACAGGCGGCCGAAGAGGGGAGGUCACCGCGAGACGCGGAGGCGUUCGAGGACGCGGUGGAAGAGGCGUCCGCCGCCUCCACGUCGCCGGUGGCGUGCUGCAAUGGCGACGCCGCGGAGACUUCGUCUCCGCCAGCUUGGAAAUCGCAGGUCGACGGGCCGUCGGCCCCGGAGGAAGCGGAAACGUACGAGUCGCCGUCGGCUUCGUCGUCGGGGUGUGCGGCGAUGGAGGUGGAGUCUUCGUUGGUUUCUGAAUUGCGGGAGGAGCCGGGGAGGGUGGAUGCUGGAAGCGCCGCGUCGCCGUCGGGGCAGCGCGCGGGAGGCACGGAGGAGCACGAGAAUUCGAUGGCCACGCCGGGGGCAGGAUCGCCGUCCAGGGAGGAGACGGACUCGUGUAUGCACUCGGCACCGUCGUCCCCGCCGCGCUCGGCCUCGUCGACGUCGUCCCCGCCGCGCUCAGCCUCGUUGACGUCGUCUCCGCCGCUGCCGCAGAUUAAGCAGCAGUCGCGGCAUGUGCGAACCGGCAGCUUCCAGCGGUUCCGUGAGCAGAUGCAGCGCGCUUGGAAGUGGGGGCCUAUUGGAGGUGGAGGAGGUGGCGAGAGGAGUCCUAGGGAGCAGUUGUUACGGACGACUGUGAACAUUGAGGCUAUGGCGAAUCAGAAGCGGCACUGGUAUCAAGUCCGCUCCAAGUCGCAGGAUAAUUGGCAAUAUAGGGAACCGACAUCGCUCUUUGAACAUUUUUUCGUGGUUGGUCUCCACUCUUAUGCAGAUGUCGGAGUAGUUGAGGAUGCUUUUGCAAAAAAGAAAGCUUGGGAAUCUAAUGUAGCACGAUCAGAGAUAGUAAAUCUUAGAAAAAACCAGUAUCGUGGGCCUGUACCAUCUAUGGAACCCCAGAUUCUUUUCAAGUAUCCACCUGGAAAGAGGGCAGAAGUUAGGGAGGCUGAUUUGCCCUCAUUCUGUUUUCCUGAAGGUGUAAAGGCUCGCCUAAUAGAGAGGACUCCAUCCAUGAGUGACCUGAAUGAAGUGAUAUUUGGGCAGGAACAUCUGUCUCGAGAUGAUCUGUCUUUUAUCUUCUCCCUCAAGGUAUCAGACAAUGCGCCACUAUAUGGUGUUUGUCUGCAUGUUCAGGAAAUAGUUCAAAAGGCACCUGGUAUACUAGGUGCUGUCUCACCCUUAAACCCUACUUCCUAUAAGCCCAGUCGUUUCUUGGUUUCUGCACCACGUUGUUACUGUCUACUUACAAAGGUACCUUUUUUUGAGCUACACUAUGAGAUGCUAAACAGCAUUAUUGCACAGGAGAGGCUUGACAGAAUAACACAGUUUGCUAGUGAAAUUACUCUAGCUGAGCCAGUUCCUCGUCCUAUUAAAGAACAAGAUGGAGUAGACGGUGAUUUUGAUUCCUCAAAUGGGAUUCCAUAUAUUGACUGGACAGAAUAUGCUGUACCUGUCAACAGUAUAUCAGGUCUCAUUUCUUCAUCCAGUAUUCCAUCAGAAAGGGACAUGUCUUCAUAUUUGUUCAGGAGCUGGGAGCCUAAUUCUUCUCAAAGUAUAUCUGGUAGUGAGAUUUCAGAUUCUAGUUAUGUAAGAGAAGUUGAGGAGGCAAGGCAUAGUUUCCAGCAUUAUGAAGAUUGUAUAGUAGAGAACUUGGAACCACGUUGUGAUAGCUUUGGGAGAGCAAGUUACAUGUAUGAUAAUGGGCAUACUUCCCCAGAUCUUCUGUCCAUGCAUUCUCCUGCCUCUAGCAGAUUAGAGCGUGCACAAAGUGUGGAGUCUUUAGAAAGUUCAGUCAAAGGUGCAACAUCAGAUGAAGAAUAUGAAGUAAAUGUGAAGCAUGAAGUGAUUGUUGAUGAUGAAAAAGUUGUAGGAUGGGCUAAGGCACACAAUAACGAACCUCUACAGAUUGUGUGUGGUUACCAUGCUCUUCAUCUGCCACCUCGUGGUGGUGAACUUGUAUUCCGCCCCCUUGAACAUCUCCAACCUGUGAAAUACUCCCGGCCUGGAUUACCCUUGUUGGGUUUUGGAGAGGAGAUUUUGGACAAUGCUUUGACUAGGGCAGAAAAAAAUAAGAUCAAUUUACAUUUGGUGGCUGCAGAAGAAGCUCUUGCAUUGUCGAUAUGGACUAUGGCUACAGUUUGUCGUUCUCUGUCUUUGGAAAGUGUGCUAGGCUUAUUCACUGGAGUUUUGCUGGAGAAGCAAAUUGUGGUAAUAUGCCCAAAUCUGGGUGUUCUGUCAGCAAUUCUUUUGUCUAUUAUACCGAUGAUAAGGCCGUUCCAGUGGCAAAGUCUGUUGCUUCCGAUUCUUCCGAGGAAAUUGAUUGAUUUUCUUGAUGCCCCUGUACCUUUCAUUUUUAUUUUAUAGGCUGGUGUACAACAUAAACCCCCUGAUAUCAAGAUGAAAGGAUCUAGUCUUGUCAGGGUCAAUGUCCAGAAAGAUCAGGUCAAGGCAUGUUCACUGCCUCGACUUCCACAUUACAAGGAGCUCGUUUCUAAUCUCGGUCCACUUCAUGCCAGACUAUCGUGUGAGAAUUCUUUGGCUAAGAGACAUCCCAUCUAUAAAUGCAAUGAAGUUCAGGCUGAUGUAGCUUGGAAGUUCUUAAAUAUAAUGAGAACCUACUUGGAAUCACUUUGCUCUGACCUGCGCUUUCAUACCAUUACAAAUGUACAGUCAAAUAAUGACAGGGUUUCUUUGCUUCUGAAAGACAGUUUCAUUGAUUCGUUCCCCUCAAAUGAUAGACCAUUUAUAAAGCUCUUUGUGGAGACGCAGAUGUUUUCUGUUCUAUCAGAUUCUCGACUGUCCAGUUUCGAAAAUGAACGGACAUAAAGGCAUUGUUCCAGUGGAGAUCAAACACAGUGAUACUCUCUGCUUUGGUUUUGGCGUCUGCUUCCUGGUGCUACCUUUACAUGUCAUUUCCAAUGCGCAGGGGAUUGGGAAGAUAAAAACAAGGCACGUCGCGUGGAGUGCGGAGGAUUUCGAUUUUGCCGAAGCCACAUCACUAAUUAGAAGUGUUCUGAAAAGUAUCUAGGCUCGUCUGCAAUGUAAGAAGAAUACGACGGACUCUCAGGUUAUAGGAAAUAGAUGCAACCCGAUCUUCUAAAUGGGACCGAGCUACAUGUGGCGCACAAGGAAAACAAAUGAUGAUGAAUAUAGUUGGGUUUCUGCUUGCGAUCUUGUUUUGCUAUGUAACACUAGUGUGUAGUGACUUAGCUAUAUUUCAUAUAGGGAAAAGAAGAACCCUGUAUAUAGGUGAAGUUAUUCAUUGGAGUUACGCGUCCCCGGUUUGAUCAUGUAAAUCAUGACCUGGUGCGCAAGAAACCGGCAUCAGUUUUGAAUAGGGAACGUUUUGCAAUUUAGUGCAUUUAAGGCCAUGGAGUGGAACAACUUCGACGUA